RNAcentral lists this ribosomal RNA (378 nucleotides) under Salmonella enterica subsp. enterica serovar Enteritidis. Its description in RNAcentral is "partial 23S ribosomal RNA". It matches the Rfam family "Bacterial large subunit ribosomal RNA", at positions 872 to 1248 of the family's 2925-position model. The record is from RNAcentral. Lineage: Bacteria; Pseudomonadati; Pseudomonadota; Gammaproteobacteria; Enterobacterales; Enterobacteriaceae.
AGGUAGCGCCUCGUGAAUUCAUCUCCGGGGGUAGAGCACUGUUUCGGCUAGGGGGCCAUCCCGGCUUACCAACCCGAUGCAAACUGCGAAUACCGGAGAAUGUUAUCACGGGAGACACACGGCGGGUGCUAACGUCCGUCGUGAAGAGGGAAACAACCCAGACCGCCAGCUAAGGUCCCAAAGUCAUGGUUAAGUGGGAAACGAUGUGGGAAGGCCCAGACAGCCAGGAUGUUGGCUUAGAAGCAGCCAUCAUUUAAAGAAAGCGUAAUAGCUCACUGGUCGAGUCGGCCUGCGCGGAAGAUGUAACGGGGCUAAACCAUGCACCGAAGCUGCGGCAGCGACACUGUGUGUUGUUGGGUAGGGGAGCGUUCUGUAAGC